Molecule: unclassified non-coding RNA, 19 nt
Filed under: Chlamydomonas reinhardtii
Lineage: Eukaryota; Viridiplantae; Chlorophyta; Chlorophyceae; Chlamydomonadales; Chlamydomonadaceae
Description: small RNA Cre_2132
Source: RNAcentral
UAACUUCGGGAAAAGGAUU